Molecule: long non-coding RNA, 589 nt
Filed under: Homo sapiens (human)
Lineage: Eukaryota; Metazoa; Chordata; Mammalia; Primates; Hominidae
Description: HSALNT0298865
Source: RNAcentral
CAAGAUUAUAUUUACAUGUGUUUAGUUCAGUGAAGUAGUUGUCUCAGGUGCUUGUUUAGAUCUAACAUCUUCAAGGAAUGUCAGGAAGCCUAGAGGCUGAAGAAAGAUGCAGAAUAUUUUCUAAAUGUCUGGCAAUGAGGAAAAUCCGUCAGUAUUUUCCUUGUGAUUAACUUGUUGAUGGAUUUUCUUUUAAAGAAGUCAAGUAAAGAGAAACUAUCCUAAGGGAGCGGGAACAAAGGCGGGACUAUUCUGACUCACUCACCUCUGUGUUGAUGGUGCCCUUUGGCGUCAGUUUCAAAGUAAUUCAUUCACAUCUGCUCGGCAAGUACACAUUGCAUGCUCAUUAAUUCCAGGUGCUGUUAGGGUUCCCGGGGAUGCAGCAGUAAAGAAAGCAGAGUUCCUGACCUCAUGGAGCAAUACUUGCAUGUGGGAGGAGACAGAUGUGGCAAAUAAGUAAAUAUAUAGCACAUCAGCGGUGAUAAGACUUGGGAGAGGGAUCUGGACUGAAGUGGAGGAAUCCAGUACAAGUAGUGGAGCCGUCUGAAAUCUUGAGAUGGGGUCUUGCUCUGUCAUCCACGCUGGAGUGCAG